UAGCUCAGCAGGUUAAAGCACAGUGCUGGAAACACUGAGGUCAUCGGUUCAAACCCGGU
RNAcentral lists this transfer RNA (59 nucleotides) under Poecilia formosa (Amazon molly). It matches the Rfam family "tRNA", at positions 8 to 63 of the family's 71-position model. From Rfam's summary of the family: Transfer RNA (tRNA) molecules are approximately 80 nucleotides in length. Their secondary structure includes four short double-helical elements and three loops (D, anti-codon, and T loops). The record is from Rfam by way of RNAcentral. Lineage: Eukaryota; Metazoa; Chordata; Actinopteri; Cyprinodontiformes; Poeciliidae.